Molecule: ribosomal RNA, 466 nt
Filed under: uncultured bacterium
Lineage: Bacteria
Description: partial 16S ribosomal RNA
Rfam family: Bacterial small subunit ribosomal RNA
Source: RNAcentral
GACGAACGCUGGCGGCGUGCUUAACACAUGCAAGUCGAACGGAAAGGCCCUGCUUGCAGGGUACUCGAGUGGCGAACGGGUGAGUAACACGUGGGUGAUCUGCCCUGCACUUCGGGAUAAGCUUGGGAAACUGGGUCUAAUACCGGAUAGGAGCCAUCUUUAGUGUGGUGGUUGGAAAGUUUUUUCGGUGUAGGAUGAGCUCGCGGCCUAUCAGCUUGUUGGUGGGGUAAUGGCCUACCAAGGCGGCGACGGGUAGCCGGCCUGAGAGGGUGUACGGCCACAUUGGGACUGAGAGACGGGCCAGACUCCUACGGGAGGCAGCAGUGGGGAAUAUUGCACAAUGGGCGCAAGCCUGAUGCAGCGACGCCGCGUGGGGGAUGAAGGCCUUCGGGUUGUAAACUCCUUUCGCUAGGGACGAAGCUUUUUUGUGACGGUACCUAGAUAAGAAGCACCGGCUAACUACGUG